RNAcentral lists this long non-coding RNA (1295 nucleotides) under Zalophus californianus (California sea lion). Its description in RNAcentral is "lncRNA (ENSZCAG00015022286.1)". The record is from RNAcentral. Lineage: Eukaryota; Metazoa; Chordata; Mammalia; Carnivora; Otariidae.
GAAAGGUGGAAGAUUAUAUAAGUAUGAUUUGCUUUUAGGUUUUUUGUUUUUUUUAAACCUCCUCCCCUCCCUUCCCCUUCUCCUUCCACUUUUCUCUAUCACCACCCUCCUUGGAGUUAAAGAGGAGAGCCAAGGAAAGGACAGCCACAGGCAGACAAAGGGGGCCCGGACUGCUGCCCUAUGGUCUCAGCAAUAAAAGAAAAAUUGGCCCAAGGUCAUGCUUUGGGUGAAGACAAGGUAGUGGCUCGGCGUCUUGGUUAGAAACCAGGACUGGAAGAGUCGCCCAGAGAAGUGGGCCCCAGGGCAAACCGGCUGUGGGUGGGGGGAGCCAGCUCCAGCCUGACUACGAAUCCCAUUCCAACAGCACUCCCUUCCCACUGGGGAGGCGGCCUUCCGUCCCCGGCCCCUGCCGGGAGGUGGAGGCUGACCCCAUGUGAAAGGCUCAGCGAUCCAGAGUCGGGCGACACGCAGGUUCUGGCGGAAAGUUGGCAGCCACCGCCCUCUCUCCCGGCUCCCUCCCCGACACCCCCCCGCCCCCCGCGCCUCUCCGGGCGCUACGGCGGGGGUGGGGGUGGGGGGAACUGGCCUAGUGUUCUGGAACAGCUGCAGCCGGCACUGGGCCCGCCUGGAAUGCGGGGACAAGCUGCGCACCAGGACUUUUAUGGAAACUUGCUGGUGGAGACGGCGGCGGCGGCGGCGGCGGCCAGAGGGCUCCCAGCGGCCGGAGCGGCAGCGGCAGCGGCCGGAGCGCCCAGACCCCCGCCCACACCCAGGCGCAGGACGCGCACAGCCUCUCCGCGCGCAACGAGGACACUCGCUUGUCGCCGGCUCCUGGCGGACCUUGUACAGCUUAAAGAACUGCCAUAAGAAAACUCAAAAUACACGAAUUUUUUCUUGGGUUGCCGGAUCUCUGGGAAGCCGUGUGUGCAAGCCCCGGGUGCAGUAUCUGCCAUCCAACACUGGAGUAUGAUGCAGCAGUCCCCUGAUGUCCGUAUGAGGCAAGUCUGAAGCCGUGAUAGGAUGGAGAGUCUGGACCCGGCAUCAGGGACCUGCACUUGAAAUGUUGUAGAUAUAUUUGGGUCAGCAAUCCUUCUCUUAAAUAAUGUGAUCAUGGCAAUGAGAAGAGGUUAACAUUCAUUGACACUAAUUGCUCAUGUCAAUUGGAGCUGGAAGAGACCAUGUAUACUAACUAAAACAUUUUAACUGGUGGGAUUUCAGAAAGCGUAGGGUAGGUAUUUCUGGGGAAGAAAUCUUUCGUAGGAACUCUUAAAAUACUCCUCAUCUCUCUCCACCCU